UUCUCUCCCAUCUGGCAGAGGAGUCCGGCUCCCUAAAUCUUCUUUUUGUUGAUGAUCGCCGGGUGUCCUCCUUUUCCCUCUAGUCAGACAAGGUGAGCGCUUCCGCGGCGGGGCUUCUGUAAAGAGGUCACAGCACGCUGUGUCCCGGGACGCACGCGGAUUCCUGCACAGGUGUGGUGGCUGCGGAUGGGGACGGAGCGUAGCAGGCUCGCCGGCCUCCUCCCGGCGGCGGCUCCGCUUCUCCUUCCUGCUGUUCACUUCAUCUCCUCAUCUGCAUGUGUGACAGCGGCGCGCGGACUGGGGAAGGACAGAGCGCCCUCUCCCCGGCUCCCGUGCAGCGGGGCGGGGGCUCCGGGCUCCCCAGUGAUGCGUCGUCUGCGCCUCGCCGCCGCGCUCCCCGGGCCUGGCAGCGGCCAGGCGUGGACGCCGCCGGACCGCUGAGACUCGGGGCACGGUGAAGCACUGGCCGGCGUCUGGCUGGGUCCGGCGCUCGGGAGCCAGAUGGAGGUGGAGAUA
Molecule: small RNA, 516 nt
Filed under: Pan troglodytes (chimpanzee)
Lineage: Eukaryota; Metazoa; Chordata; Mammalia; Primates; Hominidae
Description: processed transcript
Source: RNAcentral